GGGGAUGUAGCUCAGUUAGAGUAUGUGCUUCUUAUGCAUGAAGCCCUGGGUUCUGUCCCCAGCACUUCCC
This 70-nucleotide transfer RNA is filed under the name Urocitellus parryii (Arctic ground squirrel). Its description in RNAcentral is "Spermophilus parryii (Arctic ground squirrel) tRNA". It matches the Rfam family "tRNA". Rfam says of the family: Transfer RNA (tRNA) molecules are approximately 80 nucleotides in length. Their secondary structure includes four short double-helical elements and three loops (D, anti-codon, and T loops). RNAcentral also lists the same sequence under 2 other names. The record is from Rfam by way of RNAcentral. Lineage: Eukaryota; Metazoa; Chordata; Mammalia; Rodentia; Sciuridae.